This is a long non-coding RNA of Notolabrus celidotus (New Zealand spotty), 577 nucleotides long. RefSeq lists it as uncharacterized. The record is from RefSeq and is a predicted model, not a curated record. The transcript is spliced from 3 exons. NCBI's taxonomy places the organism in Eukaryota, Metazoa, Chordata, Actinopteri, Labriformes, Labridae.
UUGUUAACAUCCCCUCCCCUCCUUCGCCUGACGGGGUGAAAGGUAUCCGCUGCUCCCCGGGACAGAGGAGACCUCAUUUUUAUAUGUGAACGGCUGUGAACACCGCUGAAUGACACACUACAAAGGUUGGAUGUGCUGCUGCCCUUUCUCUCUUAAAUGGGCAGGAACAUCAUUUCGCCCUGGAACCACACACCUGCCGACGAACGCAGCAACAUGACAGAAAACAAGGGCUAAAGGCAGGCUCAGCAGUGCCGGCUGGGAGGAUGCAGCCUGGGAUAAAGUUGCAGAGCGCCGGACUGAUUUUUUUGAGGUGGAGCAUUUACUUUUCAACUCAUGAGCAAACAAGAAUCCAACUAAGCAUUUGCUGUCUAAUCAGUUCUGGAGAGGAUCACUUCCAAGAGGUUUUCCUAUUCAGUUCCAUCACAGCAUUUCAGUGACGGCAAAGGUAGUGAAUCCUCUCAUUCCAGACAUUGUGUAAACUUGCUUAUAAUCAAUAUCAGAUAUACUGUAUAAAUAAUGAAUAAUAAGUUCUAAAAGUUUUGAAACUGAUCCUGGUGUUUGCUUCAGACAGCAGCUG